UAGUCUCGCACAGAUGCAUAUCAAUAAGCGGAGGAAAAGAAACUAACAAGGAUUCCCUUAGUAACGGCGAGUGAAGCGGGAAGAGCUCAAAUUUGAAAUCUUCAAGGUUUUACCUUGACGAAUUGUAGUUUAAAGAAGUGUUUUCUGUUGAAGUUUUGGUAAAAGUUCUUUGGAAUAGGACAUCAUAGAGGGUGAGAAUCCCGUAUUUGACCAUUAUUUUCAGCUGUGUGAUACACUUUCAAAGAGUCGGAUUGUUUGGGAAUGCAGUCCAAAAUGGGUGGUAAAUUUCAUCUAAAGCUAAAUAUUGGCGAGAGACCGAUAGCGAACAAGUACCGUGAGGGAAAGAUGAAAAGAACUUUGAAAAGAGAGUUAAACAGUACGUGAAAUUGUCAAAAGGGAAGCGUUUGACACCAGUGUUGUUUUCUCGAAAAUCAAUUAAAAAGAGUUAGAUUUUGUUGUGUAUUGACCUUAACAGCUUGCAUUUCAAUUUUCUUGCUUUUUUUAAUGCACUUUUCGUUUAACAAGUCAACAUCAGUUUCUUUUGUUGUAAAAAGGUCAUUGGAAGGUGGCUUUCUUUUCGGAGAAAGUGUUUAUAGCCUUUGACUCCUGCAAUCGGAGAGACUGAGGUCUGCAGCGUAGAUCCUUCGGGGUUAGAUACAUUUGUGCUAAGUUAUAGCUUUUUAUAGACAACUUGUUGACUAUGAUUAGUCUUGUAGCUUACUCGCUUAUGCUAUUUUACCUACGCUUAGGAUGUUGAAGAUGUAGCACAUCAU
RNAcentral lists this ribosomal RNA (773 nucleotides) under uncultured Neocallimastigales. RNAcentral describes it as "partial large subunit ribosomal RNA". It matches the Rfam family "Eukaryotic large subunit ribosomal RNA", at positions 24 to 620 of the family's 3401-position model. Lineage: Eukaryota; Fungi; Neocallimastigomycota; Neocallimastigomycetes; Neocallimastigales. The record is from RNAcentral.